UAAGUGAUAUCAGAAAAUUAUCCACUUUGC
Molecule: non-coding RNA, 30 nt
Filed under: Mus musculus (house mouse)
Lineage: Eukaryota; Metazoa; Chordata; Mammalia; Rodentia; Muridae
Source: RNAcentral